This 235-nucleotide long non-coding RNA is filed under the name Elaeis guineensis (African oil palm). Its description in RNAcentral is "long non-coding RNA (EGUI_LNC036930)". The record is from RNAcentral. Lineage: Eukaryota; Viridiplantae; Streptophyta; Magnoliopsida; Arecales; Arecaceae.
GGGGCACGGUGGGCCACGAUGGUGGGGGAAGAAUGGGGGGGUCGGGAAGAAGGGCAGAGUUUGUGCCAGUGGGAUGGCGACUCCGAGAGGCUACCGACAGCACCAAGGGAAGAAGGGGGCUCAAGAACAUGGGCGCGGGGAUAGUCGAUCUAGUGCUGGAAUGUCAGAUUCAAGGUAGGGAUGGCGGUGUGGGGGCUGGGGGAGGAGGUCGGGUUCUCUAGCGGUGCGACAGGGG